This 582-nucleotide ribosomal RNA is filed under the name Triticum aestivum (bread wheat). Its description in RNAcentral is "partial small subunit ribosomal RNA". Lineage: Eukaryota; Viridiplantae; Streptophyta; Magnoliopsida; Poales; Poaceae. The record is from RNAcentral.
AUGAGACAUAUAAGACUUGUCCGUAAUAUGAGGGCUCAAAGUGAUCCAUGGUUUGCUGAUUAUCUUCUGCGUGUUGGGAAUGGCACCAAAGAUACUAUGGAUGAUGGUUACAUACGAUUCCCAGAUGAGAUUUGUGUACCAUAUACCGGCGUUGCCUCUGAUAUUGACAAGCUUAUUGAAAGUGUUUUCCCGAUGCCGCUAGAUGAAAACCUCUUGGAUCGAAACUACAUAACGUCAUGAGCAAUUCUAUCAACUCGGAAUGAGUACGUUGACAAAAUCAAUAUGAGGAUGAUUGAGAGAUUUCCUGGGGAGGAGAUGAUAUACUACAGUUUUGAUCGCGUUGAGGAUGAUCCACACAACUACUACCCUGCAGAAUUCUUGAAUUCAUUGACACCUAAUGGUCUACCUCCCCAUAUCCUCAAGUUGAAGAUUAAUUGUCCUAUUAUAUUGUUACGGAACAUUGACCCAGCGAGUGGGUUGUGCAACAGGACGAGGCUGAUUGUCCGAGGGUUCAUGAGGAAUGCAAUUGAUGCUGAGAUUGUGCUGGGCCAGCAUGCCGGUAAGAGGGUGUUCCUUCCUUGA